AGCGAACGCUGGCGGCAUGCCUAACACAUGCAAGUCGCACGGGGGGGCUUCGGCCUCCCAGUGGCGGACGGGUGAGGAACGCGUAGGGACCUGUCGAGGGGUGGGGGAUAACCGCGGGAAACUGCGGCUAAUACCGCAUGACGCCGCGGCGUGACAGCCGGGGCCAAAGGCGAAAGCCGCCCGCCGAGGGGCCUGCGUCCGAUUAGCCGGUUGGCGGGGUAGCGGCCCACCAAGGCGUCGAUCGGUAGCUGGUCUGAGAGGGUGAUCAGCCACACCGGGACUGAGACACGGCCCGGACUCCUACGGGAGGCAGCAGUGGGGAAUAUUGGACAAUGGGCGCAAGCCUGAUCCAGCAAUGCCGCGUGGGUGAAGAAGGUCUUCGGAUUGUAAAGCCCUUUCGGCGGGGACGAUGGUGACGGUACCCGCAGAAGAAGCCCCGGCUAACUUCGUG
RNAcentral lists this ribosomal RNA (451 nucleotides) under uncultured bacterium. RNAcentral's name for it is "partial 16S ribosomal RNA". It matches the Rfam family "Bacterial small subunit ribosomal RNA", at positions 28 to 507 of the family's 1533-position model. The record is from RNAcentral.